This 248-nucleotide long non-coding RNA is filed under the name Hordeum vulgare. RNAcentral's name for it is "long non-coding RNA (HVUL_LNC008573)". Lineage: Eukaryota; Viridiplantae; Streptophyta; Magnoliopsida; Poales; Poaceae. The record is from RNAcentral.
GGAGCCGCCUUGACGCGGGACGCGGCCGCCCUGCUGGAGCCGCCUUGACGCGGGAAGGAGAUGGGACGCGGCCGCCUCUGCUGGUGGUGGGAACGCGGCGCGGGAGGGCCUCGAUCUGAAGCCGCCGUGACGCGGGAACGAGGCGAGCAGGACGAGGGCCGGUGCGACGAGGUGCGGGACGAGACGAAUUUGGGAAAGAUUAGAUCGGGAAGAGCACGAGUUGCGCGUGCAAAAAGAACCUAGGCUCU